ACCUGACUGGCUCAGUGGGUUAAGUGUCUGACUUCAGCUCAGGUCAGGAUCUCACAGUUCGUGGGUUCAAGCCCCGCGUUGGGCU
RNAcentral lists this transfer RNA (85 nucleotides) under Felis catus (domestic cat). It matches the Rfam family "tRNA". Rfam says of the family: Transfer RNA (tRNA) molecules are approximately 80 nucleotides in length. Their secondary structure includes four short double-helical elements and three loops (D, anti-codon, and T loops). Further hydrogen bonds mediate the characteristic L-shaped molecular structure. tRNAs have two regions of fundamental functional importance: the anti-codon, which is responsible for specific mRNA codon recognition, and the 3' end, to which the tRNAs corresponding amino acid is attached (by aminoacyl-tRNA synthetases). tRNAs cope with the degeneracy of the genetic code in two manners: having more than one tRNA (with a specific anti-codon) for a particular amino acid; and 'wobble' base-pairing, i.e. permitting non-standard base-pairing at the 3rd anti-codon position. Lineage: Eukaryota; Metazoa; Chordata; Mammalia; Carnivora; Felidae. The record is from Rfam by way of RNAcentral.